ACAGUCUGUUCUAAAUUGCGACUAUUUUCAGCGACGUAUUGUCUUUAUAUCAAGUAAAAUAACGCUUUCAUUUAUCGGGACAAAAGCUUAGUAAGAAGAUAAUUGGGUUUUGAGCAGACUUGUGGAUGAUUUCACUUGCCCCAGUUUUAAGCUUUCAGAGUUUUGGGUAUCCCUAGUGGGGAUAGCCAAAACACUAGGGAUUUGGGUACGGGGGUACCCAAAACUCAGGGAUUCCCAAAUCACUGUGACACCGCCAUUUUGAAAAGUGGAGAAGGCCCUUGGACGACAUUGAGUUUACCGCCGGCUAAGUGGGAGCUCUGCCGUUGACCAGUGGUUUUGAAAAGAGAGCGAUAUGAAAUCAUACACGUUCUGGACAUUCUUGUGCUUGAGCAUUUAUUUUAACAAAGCAGUGGAUCUAAGCGCGAAGAAUUCUCUUAUUUGGGGUCCAGGACUACACAGAAAGAUUGUUCUACCUGCGAGAUACUUCUUUAUCCAAGCAGUAGAUAAAGAAAACAACAACCUUACUGAAUCCCCAGGUGAUGAUGCAUUUGAUGUUAAAAUUACUAGUUCAAGCGGACGAGUUAGAACAUGGGUACAGAAGUUGGAUAGGCAGGAUGGUUCAUUCAUUGUACGCUAUCGACUAUUUGCAUCAUAUCCAGAUCUUACAAUUCAUGUUACCUACAAAGGCAAGAGUGUUGAUAGUUCACCAUACAGAUUACACGGAGGUGUGUACCAUGAAACUUGCUUUUGCCCUGAAUUGGAUGGAAAGAGGUGGAGAGAAAUUAUGAAUUGCCCGGAGAAGUACUCGCAAAUAGAGAAGGAUCUUUCACCCUUUGACCAAAUAAACCUGGAGGAACUAGCAAAAGAAGCUGUUGGUCGGUUUGGAACUCAUCAUGCAAUUUGUCAUUACUCUGUUAUUAAUAACCAGGUUUAUCACAAGUGUUACGGUCAGCAUGUGGGAUUUUCAAUGUUUAUGGAUAACAUACUCUUGUCUCUUGCUAGGAAGGUCGUUCUUCCUGACAUGGAGUUCUUUGUCAACCUUGGUGACUGGCCACUUGUUAAGCUCAGCACAAAUCCUCUUCCAAUUCUUUCCUGGUGUGGUUCAGAUGAUACCUUAGACAUUGUCAUGCCUACGUAUGAUCUCACAGAAUCUACACUGGAGACAAUGGGAAGAGUUUCCUUGGAUAUGCUUUCUGUCCAGGCCAGCAGAAGUCCAAUGUGGUCUGACAAGAUUACCAAAGCAUUUUGGCGUGGGCGUGACAGUCGAGAAGAACGGCUCAAGCUUGUUAUGAUGGCAAAAAAAAAUCCAGACCUAUUUGAUGCUGCACUUACAAACUUCUUUUUCUUCAAGCAUGAUGAUAUCAAAUAUGGUCCCAAAGUCAAGCAUGUGUCAUUCUUUGAUUUCUUCAAGGGCAAAAAAGGAAUGCCUACUCAUUAAUAAGAAGAGUGGUGCUUGUACUAUUGAAGGAAUGCUAGCGCUCUUUGAACAGUAAAACAAAACACUAUGAGAGAGUGUGCACAGUGGAAAUACCAGAUAAACAUUGAUGGAACAGUGGCAGCUUACCGUUUACCAUACCUUCUGG
Molecule: unclassified non-coding RNA, 1583 nt
Filed under: Orbicella faveolata
Lineage: Eukaryota; Metazoa; Cnidaria; Anthozoa; Scleractinia; Merulinidae
Description: kDEL motif-containing protein 1-like, transcript variant X1
Source: RNAcentral